UACGGAGGAUGCAAGCGUUAUCCGGAAUGAUUGGGCGUAAAGGGUCUGCAGGUGGAACUGAAAGUCUGCUGUUAAAGAGUUUGGCUUAACCAAAUAAAAGCGGUGGAAACUACAGAACUAGAGUGCGGUAGGGGCAAAAGGAAUUCCUGGUGUAGCGGUGAAAUGCGUAGAUAUCAGGAAGAACACCGGUGGCGAAAGCGUUUUGCUAGACCGUAACUGACACUGAGGGACGAAAGCUAGGGGAGCGAAUGGG
Molecule: unclassified non-coding RNA, 253 nt
Filed under: uncultured cyanobacterium
Lineage: Bacteria; Bacillati; Cyanobacteriota
Description: contains 16S-23S intergenic spacer region
Rfam family: Bacterial small subunit ribosomal RNA
Source: RNAcentral